This 260-nucleotide non-coding RNA is filed under the name Toxocara canis (dog roundworm). RNAcentral describes it as "Eukaryotic large subunit ribosomal RNA". It matches the Rfam family "Eukaryotic large subunit ribosomal RNA", at positions 64 to 317 of the family's 3401-position model. The record is from Rfam by way of RNAcentral. Lineage: Eukaryota; Metazoa; Nematoda; Chromadorea; Rhabditida; Toxocaridae.
ACUAACGAGGAUUUCUCUAGUAACGGCGAGUGAACGGGGAAAAGCCCAGCGCUGAAUCCAGUGGCCACUGGUCGGUUGAAUUGUAGCGUACAGGUGCGGUUGUCCGUUUGUUCCGCGCACCCAAAGUCCCCUUGAGUGGGGCUAUGGUCCAAAGAAGGUGCUAGACCUAUACGGGUGGCGAGACGAUCGGUUGGUUGCUCCUUGGCAUCGGUUUGCGUGGGAUCGCAGCCCAAAGUUGGUGGUAGACCUCAUCUAAGGCU